GGAGAGGUGCGAGAGCGGUUGAAUCGGGCGGUCUCGAAAACCGUUGUCCGCCUAUCGGCGGACCGUGGGUUCGAAUCCCACCCUCUCCG
RNAcentral lists this transfer RNA (89 nucleotides) under bacterium. Its description in RNAcentral is "tRNA-Ser". It matches the Rfam family "tRNA". Rfam says of the family: Transfer RNA (tRNA) molecules are approximately 80 nucleotides in length. The record is from RNAcentral.